UAUUUUUAUGCCCCACCUACGAUAGUAGAGGGGCAUUAUGUUUUCUGGUCUGUGCCUCCGUUCGUUCGUCCGUUCGUCCGUUCGUUCGUCCGACUUCAGGUUAAAGUUUUUGGUCAAGGUAGUUUUUGAUGAAGUUGAAGUCCAAUCCACUUGAAACUUAGUACACAUGUUCCCCAUGAUAUGAUCUUUCUAAUUUUAAUGCCAAAUUAUAGUUUGACCCCAAUUUCAUGGUCAACUGAACAUAGAAAAUGAAAGUGCGAAGUUCAGGUUAAAGUUUUUGGUCAAGGUAGUUUUUGAUGAAGUUAAAGUCACAACUACUUGAAACUUAGUACACAUGUUCCCUAUGAUAUGAUCUUUCUAAUUUUAAUUCCAAAUUAAAGUUUUGACCCCAAUUUCACGGUCCACUGAACAUGAAAAAUUAUAAUGCGAGUGGGGCAUCUGUGUACUAUGGACACAUUCUUGUU
RNAcentral lists this long non-coding RNA (464 nucleotides) under Mytilus galloprovincialis (Mediterranean mussel). Lineage: Eukaryota; Metazoa; Mollusca; Bivalvia; Mytilida; Mytilidae. The record is from RNAcentral.